UCGGAAUCUACCUUGUCGUGGGGGAUAACGUAGGGAAACUUACGCUAAUACCGCAUACGAACCAUGGUUGAAAGCGGCGGACCGCAAGGCGUCGCGCGAUUGGAUGAGCCGAUGUCCGAUUAGCUAGUUGGCGGGGUAAAGGCCCACCAAGGCGACGAUCGGUAGCUGGUCUGAGAGGAUGAUCAGCCACACUGGAACUGAGACACGGUCCAGACUCCUACGGGAGGCAGCAGUGGGGAAUAUUGGACAAUGGGGGCAACCCUGAUCCAGCCAUGCCGCGUGUGUGAAGAAGGCCUUCGGGUUGUAAAGCACUUUUGUUGGGGAAGAAAAGCACUGGGCUAAUACCUUGGUGUCAUGACGGUACCCAAAGAAUAAGCACCGGCUAACUUCGUGCCAGCAGCCGCGGUAAUACGAAGGGUGCAAGCGUUACUCGGAAUUACUGGGCGUAAAGCGUGCGUAGGCGGUUUGUUAAGU
RNAcentral lists this ribosomal RNA (474 nucleotides) under uncultured bacterium. Its description in RNAcentral is "bacterial SSU rRNA". It matches the Rfam family "Bacterial small subunit ribosomal RNA", at positions 118 to 588 of the family's 1533-position model. The record is from RNAcentral.